Molecule: long non-coding RNA, 1255 nt
Filed under: Apteryx haastii (Great spotted kiwi)
Lineage: Eukaryota; Metazoa; Chordata; Aves; Apterygiformes; Apterygidae
Description: lncRNA (ENSAHAG00000011729.1)
Source: RNAcentral
GAUGUAUUUCAUUAAUGAAAAAACAAUUUUUACUACUUUUUUAACAAAUAAGCAAAUAUUGCUGGAGCUGUAAACACUCUGUCUACAUAACAAAAGGAAUGCACAUGUAAUUUAUCCUAGGUUUUUAGUAAUUAUUUUAUUUUUGUUAGACUCAUUUUACUUUUGUUAGAUGCACAGUAAACAGUGAAAAGAUGUAACUUGCAUUAAUUUAAUGCAUCAGAGUAAACAGGACAUGGAGAUUUUGGUGAAAGCACUUUUUAUAUAUUGCAUAACACUGAUUUAAUUUGUAGUAGAUAAUAAAGCUUAUUUAGACAGUUCCAAUGGACAAGAGAAAUCCAGGUCCAAAAGUGAUGUUUGCAUGAUCAUAGGAGCUUUUAAUGUGUUUUAUCUUAUUGGAGGGAAAAGGGGAGAGCAAAGGCAUCAUCUCAUAAAAGCACAAGAAAAUUCAUGUUGGUAACUGAAUUAAAUCUUUCCUGAGGUAAAUGCUUUCUAUUUAUUCUGUAAGGGAAAGUAAGGAUCUAUGAAGAUUUAAAUUGGGUUAAACCCUAGAAGCCAUAUGGGAACAAAAUUAACUCCCUAGUCAGAGAAAUGGUCUUAGAAAAAAGUAAUUAAAUUGCAACUAAAGUACUUUCAGGGAACACAGACUAGUGAAACCCCCAAAGUACAGAAUACAUAAUUUUUAAUAACAGUACUAUUAAAUCUGACAAUGUGAGCUUGUCAUAUAAAGCAUUCCAUUGAUUCAUCAUAAAAAAUUGCCCAAAUAGUUCUCAUGACAGACUUCACAGAUUGUCUUAAUUUUCUUGAUUGAUAAAGACCUCUUUAAAAUUCCUGUGAUGCUAGGUAAAGUCAAAAAUGGUCAAAUAAUUUAGCAAAUGUUUUAAUGCAAUAUCCAUACUAACCUGAAUUAUAACAAAUUCAGUAUUUUAUACUACUCAAGAUACAGCAGAUGAGGCCCCAAACAGGAAGUUUUGACCACAGUAGUACAUAAAAUCCAUUGGUGUGAUUAUUCUCACUGCCUGUCCUUACCCUGAUGCGGGAGUGAGGAGACAGCAGCAGGAAGGACUAAAAUCUCCUUUCAGUUCUAGUGGUGAAAACACUAAGACCUACAGUUGUUCAAAUUCAGGUACUGAUUAUAUCUUCAAAAACAUUAAUGUUAUCCGAGCAUUUGAAUAUUUUAUCCAUUGAUUCUAAAUGGAAUAUACAAUUGAUACUAGAUCUAGUAUAAUACCUACCUGGGAAUAACACUUAAAUAUUU